This is a long non-coding RNA of Drosophila eugracilis, 1249 nucleotides long. RefSeq lists it as uncharacterized. The record is from RefSeq and is a predicted model, not a curated record. The transcript has 3 exons. Lineage: Eukaryota; Metazoa; Arthropoda; Insecta; Diptera; Drosophilidae.
ACUUCCAACGCUCUACCUCUACACAGCACAACAAAUGGUCAAGUAUAGAGGUUUCGUAGCACUCUAGCCGAAAUAGCCAGAUGCCUGAAACUUGGAUGCAAAUUGAACGAUACUAUAGGAAUAAUCAUUUUUAGCAACCAACAAAUCAAUCCACUCAGUAACUAACAAAAAACCCACAGAAAUAGUUCACACAAAGCCCAUGGAAUUCGAUAGAGAAAUUAUUAGGAAAAUGCAACCGCUACAGCAGAAGACGAUUGACCAGGUAAACGAGAAUAGGACCUAUAAGGACAAUCAGUAUACUGAAUGACUACACGAACGCGGGGUAUACCCCAUAGAGGACAGUGACAUUGUAGUCUGGGAGUCUUUCGGAUACCUACAACAUGCAACGAACAUGACGACCGAGGACUUUGCUGACCAGACGGAAGCGCUAACGAAAACAUUUACCGAUGACCACAGACUACCGGUUAUAGCGGCGGAAAUCAGACACAUUCCCAAGAUGGUAGCCACCUUAAAAAUCACUCAUAGCGAUGCCAGGAGUAUAAACUUUAUUAGGACAAACCUUAAAAGUUGUUGCAGGCUUUUUUAAAGAAGAUAACAGUCUAUCCGGUCCAGAUACCACCAUCUAAAGACCAAAGUCCACGCCAAAACAGGAAUUAACGAUGACUUGGAACCAUUGGGUCAGCAGCAUUAGCAUUAGCACAAGAAGCUGAAUCAAGUAACGAAAGAAGCGUUUUUGCGCCACUUUCGCCCGACACAAUGAGGAGAAAGCAUACAAGCCGAACAACCAGCGACAAGAAGGUUGAAAAAAUUCCCAGACCCAUUCAGAAAUUCAGGAGCAAUUAGGAAAACUCCUCACUUGUUAGGACUCAAAAAGGAGCCAACAACCAGAAUGAUUCCUUUGGACAGAGACCACACAUAAGCACAGGAACUCGUCAGGGUCAACCAGCACCAGAGCCAAUGGAGAUCGACCCCUCCUUCAGGAUUAAAUUUAGACAGCCCACAACAUGGCAAAAAGGGCAGUCAGCAAGGCAACAAAAAAUGAACCUCAUGCCAGAAGAAAAAUCUGACGACGAAGAUUAUGACGCCGUUGCGCAGACUUGUGCUACUGAAGUAGAAGACGAUCUUGAGGAAGAAGACUCAUGUAAUUUUUAGAAUAAAAUCCCUGCUCCCCUACUUUACACACAGGCACCUCAAAAAAUAGAUUACUCCAAUCCCGGGACUGAAAGAAAUUGUGGCAGCGGAGAAACCC